CCUUUGUUGGCAUCAGUGCUUCUUCGUUUUCUUAUAGUGGAACAACCUCUUCCGCAGCUUUUUGCGAGUUAGGCCCCGAUUCAUUCUGGUGACUCUGCGCAAACGGCCACCUAUUUCCCCGCCCAGCUUGAGAGUAAUAGAGUGAGGUGCGAGUGUGCGCCGCUACACCUUACUCUGCUCUCGCCGCACGCGGGCUCUUUUUUUCGCCUGGCUCCUUACAGUGGACUCCCGCUCAUACGGUCCUGCAGUGCUCCCAGCCGUAACGAUCGCCUAUCUUAUUUGGGCAUUUCUUCGCUCCCCCCUCGCGACGCUGCUCCAGAAUUGUGCACAUCUUUCGUUUUCAUUUCUUUGGUGUUGAUAUUCGUUUUCUCCCACUACACACACCCCGUCCACCAUCUCUUUUUUGUUAUUCUCUUCACUUGCUCCACCGAGUCAUCACCGGUGGCACUCUGCAGGCGCAUCCACAGCCGCACGCUCGCCCGAAGGUGGGGGUGGGGUGGGGAAGGGAGCACUUGCGCCCUGAACGUCUUUUCUGUUUUCGCCUCUCUUUUGCCUUUCCUGUUCCUUUUCCGAGCACAUCUACAUUCCAUACGCGCUUCUCAUCGCCACGCUCUACCGUAGCCGGAGCGAUAUUCACCCACAGCUCCCUCCCUCACUCCUCCAUCAUCAGAGAACAGGACCUCUUUUUCUGUUUGUGCGUGCGCGCUCUGUAUCUGCUUUCCCUUUUUCAAUUGUCGAGUGCUCACCUCUUCCAUGUUCGUUUCUCUUUUCGUUCAUCUCGUGCGUGGUUCUUGAACCUUGGAGAUACGCCGCCGCAGAACGCAUCUCCACCAGCCCAGAUCUUGUCUUUGCUCCCAUCCUAACAGACACGGAAUUCCUCUGCGUCAUCAUUUUUUGUUGCUGACGUGCUCGCCUGUAUGGAUGUUUUCUUGCUGGUAAUAUUAUGUGAUGGUUGCACGUAUUUCUUGUGCUUGUCUCCGCUCUUUUCCGAUUUCUACUAGAGCCUUUUUUCUUUUUGCUUCCUCGCCCUGCGCUGCUCCGCCCUGCUCCUCCACACCGUCUCUACUUGUCUCCUUUCAGGGAAACUGCAUGCCGAUAGGCGUCCACCCCCACCCCCUCUUCCUCUACCCCUCUACCCUAUCCUCGCGUGUGUGUAAAGGCCGCUUCGUGUUUGCUUCGGAGAUUUCACUGUUCUCCCGUCUUCCUCCCUCCUUGAACCUUCCCCUGUAAUGUGCCCCCCCCUUCCCCUCCCCAGACCUCUCUCUUUCUCUUCCUCUCCAUCGAGUUCGUUGUUUCCUCUGUCACUCGCGUCUUCGACGGCCGAGCCUGUUCACACACCCUCCCCUCUUCUUUGUCGACUUCUCAUCGCGUUCGUCCCCCUCCAUUCGCCGCGCGCCGCAUUUCUCUGUCUUUGCGUGUGCACCAGCGUCACUGCUGCCGCCUCCCUUGCCUGCUUCCUCUGUCCGCCCGCCUCUCUGGUUCCCGUGGUGUUCCCACUGCUCUGGCACAGGGUAGCCGGUCCACCGUGUCGGGCGCAGCAACAAAAGCCAUGGACAAACCGGCGCCACCGCCGCCUCCGUGUUCAACUCAGGCGCGACAGCACACGAAAGGGGAGAGAGAGUCGUGGACAACAAUGGCCUUGCCCCCUGUCUUGCACCUAGGCCCGCACAAGCUGAAGCUCUUCCCUAUUUGCCGCAGUGCCGAGGCCGCGCCUGGCAGGCACCGCUGCAACGACAGUCUCCUGACGGGGUUCUGCUUUGUGGGUGAGCUUCAGACGGACGCCGUCGGCCUCAGCGUCGCCAACGUCGCCGCUGACCGUGACUCCAAUCGUAGAAAAGUGACCAUUCUGUGGUACUACUCGCCGCUGUUCCAUUUCGAACAUAAGAGAAUCCGGGUCGAAGAGGGCGUGAUCGAGGCUGCGCUGACAAAGGAAGUAACAGCGCGCCAGCACGCCGAUGCGAACUCUCCGUCACUCAAGUUUGGCGGCGCGGAGGCGGUAAAGCACGAGGAUUCUUGCUCGACGCGUUCGAGUGUGGCGUCAAGCGCGGCACUCUCCGUGACCCAUGCCACUGGUCUUCCAGCGCUAUAUCUUCGUGUCGGCAACUCCACGACAUUCCGCGAGUACAGAUUGGUAAUAGAAGGGCAGCACAGCACAGCCCUUGGUGAUUCUACAGAGCUGCGCACGCCGAGCGGUGCGGGUGUUGCUGGCGACGGCCACAAUGACGUAUCCGUGCAUGCAGCGCACAAGCCACCAACUCUGCGACCCUUGGCCCCGAGGCGACCUACGCUGAGGCCGAUCGACACGCGACCGGACGGCAACGGCUUACGAAGCACGGCGAGGCUAGCUCACAAGCGAAAUGCUGCACUGAGCGGAUGGCGUGCCUCCGCCAGCGCACCGACACAGUGUCACGCUGCGCCGGUGGAGGAAGAGUUGAAGGCGCUGCAGCAGCCGAGUCCUUUCAGCACAGCCGCCAGGACUGCUAUCACUACUGCACCGGCGCCUCAUCCACAUAAUGAAGGGGCCAAUGUAGCGUGCGAGGCGGUGCUUCCUAUGCGAAUGCCCCUCUCAUGCGGAGAUUACUCACAGGCCUCCCCGCGCGUCCCGAACGAAGGAAAUUUACCGCAGUGGGCGUCGCCUGUGGACCACUGCGAAACCCGAGAGGUGUGCGCACACAAGGACUUCCCGCACGGCAGCUUCCUUUGAGCGCAGCCGGCGGCUCGAGUGUGUCCUCGGCGUUCCUCUCCAGCUCCCUUUGCUUAUGUAUGCCAUCCCAGUCCCCGACCGGUGCCCUUAGCACCGCGCGCUCCGCGGAAACGGACACGAAUGACCUCCACUCCUCAGCUAGGGUCAGCGGCUCCUCUGGCCGCUUCCUCUACGACGUCCACCGGCAUUCGCGGGAGAUCACGUGCCUCGUGUCUGCCGUCUGCACCCACUGCCGCAGAGCACGUCUUGAUUGACGCCUACGCCGGCGUCGAAUUCCCGUUUGACAAGAAGCCUUGCGUUUCGCACGCUCGGCAACAGCAGCGACGGCAUGUCGUGCUCUAUCCACGCGCCGCACGGCUCCGCAGUCCAAGGAACGCAGUUGGAGGUAGAGCGAGUGAUCGCAGCCACACCGCCGUCAGCGCGGUAGAAGCCGCGCCGAGCUCCAACCAGCGGCAAAAACGCCCAUCGCUGUAUGCUUAUGUGUGUGUGUGUGUGAUGCGUUGGGUAGCCGGCUGCAGUCCUCGCUUCAUUGCUCCUGCUGCUUACACCUUUCAUCGGCAUUCUUUUUUUUUCCAGUUCCGCGCUGUUGCGUCUUCCUAUGUUCUCUACCCUUAUCCCUUUCUCCCGGUUUUCUCGCUCACAGGCACCGACUGUCGUUGGGGGCUCUUGCACGACUGGCAUGGGCCGGCCUCCUGUAAUAUCAUAUGUGCAUACGUGUGUGUGUGUGUCGUCAUGUUUAUGUGGCGCCGUGCGUCGACCGGAGGGAGGUAUCAGUGAGGCGGCAGAGACCAAUGUCAACGGUCGCGCUAGCCACUGACACAUUGGCGCGAGGGUUUUCGCGUGUGGGGGGCGGGCCGGCGAGCAGUCGGGCAGGCGGUGGAGAGAAAUAGGGGAGGGGGGAUGGCCCGAAUAACGAGAGAGGAGGGAGUCAGUUUAAACGCCUGGCCUGUCACAUAUUUUUUCUCUUCGCUCUCGCUUACGAGAGGGUUCUUAUUUUUUUUUUCUUUUCGGAGGUGAUGGUCGGUGCGGCUGUUCAGCGUAUCACUUCUUUUUUUGUGUGUGUGUGUUCCCAUUUCGUGGAUAUCGUCAUGUGCUACACUGAAGCCGACGUGCAUCUCUCUCUCUGCAGGUGUGUGUGGGUGCUUGCAUGUGCGGCUUGUGUAAAAGGGCGCUUAAGCACUCUGGUUGGUUUUCUUAUCCACCACCCACCCCCUUUGACAUGACGGCUCCCCUUUUAUCGGUUGUUGUUGUGGCUGUCUUUGCCCCCCCCUCUUCCCUCUUUUUUUUUGUUUGUGAAGUCUCCAUGUGCGCUCACAUUCUCCUCCUUGCGUGUCUGCGCUAAUGUACUGCGCACACCUUCACCAUGUGCUCUGUCCUUCCACUCUCUCCCUCUCACUGCGAAUCUGGCACGAGGGUCGUGUCUGUGUGUAUGCGUGCGCGUUCUGAGUUCGCCGCGUGCUUUGUUUUACAUCUCUUCACCACUUGCAAGGAUGAUGUAGUUUUCCUUUCAUCUCUCUCCGCCUUCCACCUCUUACUCAUCCCGUCUCCCUGUUGACUCUUGUUUUUCUCUGAAUGAGUUUCGCUUGUCUUCACGCGGGAUCAGCGUGACUGCCGUUGCGCGAGGUUGAGGACGGCACUACCGAGUACCUCAUCACCCCUCUAGCUCGAGGUCGCUCUCUCCAUAUCGAACUGUUUUUACGCAGUCGUCUCUGGGACCUGUGCGACACGCUCCCUCACGUUACUUCAUCGUUUGUCCCUCACGCAUUCGGUGCAUUUUCUUUGUAUGUCGGCUCGUUACUUCGAACCUGUUGUGUGUGUGUGUCGGCGUGGCUGCGUGUGUCUGUUUCUCUUUUAUGCUCAAAGAAGAGAUGUGUGCCACCACAUAGCGGCCCUAUGCUCGGUGAUGGCGUGCAAACCUGGUUGAACCCAUGCCACAUGUGUGUGUGUCUGUGCAUGGGCGUGUCGGCUGUGUUCGUGGCCGCUUUUUUUAUUCUGCGCCGAUGGAGGAGUGCUUCUCUCCCUCUCCUUUCCUUUUUGACUUUGCUGCGUAGUGUGGCUCUCGCUACUGUCUUCUCAACAAUUGCAGCAGCGGAGAACUGCAUCAGGCG
RNAcentral lists this unclassified non-coding RNA (4812 nucleotides) under Leishmania donovani. Its description in RNAcentral is "gene:LdHU3.34.5780(CDS-product:hypothetical_prote in_conserved)". The record is from RNAcentral. Lineage: Eukaryota; Euglenozoa; Kinetoplastea; Trypanosomatida; Trypanosomatidae.